RNAcentral lists this long non-coding RNA (229 nucleotides) under Lathyrus oleraceus (garden pea). RNAcentral's name for it is "Pisum sativum (pea) long non-coding RNA (PSAT_LNC007751)". Lineage: Eukaryota; Viridiplantae; Streptophyta; Magnoliopsida; Fabales; Fabaceae. The record is from RNAcentral.
AGUUGCCUUUUUGCUUUCUUUUAUUUUUUUGUUUUGCUGGAUCAUUCACUUAUUUGCAUCGGUCCCCUACGUAGAGGAUGUGUAGGCCAGAGCUGACUGCUGAGAUAAACUACUGAGGACUUAUACGGAAAUGAUGAUUAAGGUCAUGGUAUAUGGGGUUUCGGGAGCGGUUCCUAUAUUUACGAAGUCUAUGGUGCUAAAAUAAUACUGAUGUUUCACAAAGUUCUCC